Molecule: long non-coding RNA, 690 nt
Filed under: Sorghum bicolor (sorghum)
Lineage: Eukaryota; Viridiplantae; Streptophyta; Magnoliopsida; Poales; Poaceae
Description: long non-coding RNA (SBIC_LNC013677)
Source: RNAcentral
GCCGUUAAAAUUAUAUAAAAAAAACUUUCUGGGUGCCUUUCCUGGCACUCGCGGAGAGGCUUUUUUCCGAGUGCCAGGACAAGAUUUUUUUUCUUAUUUUUUGCCCCAUUUUUUGUAGGUCUUUCCACAUUAUUUAAAACUCUUUGUUCACAUUUGGGACAAUUUUGACUUUUUGGUAUAUUUUAUUAUUUUUCGUUUCAUUGAAUUUUUUGCAUACUUCAAAUUUGAACUGUAGGUGCAUGAAAUAAUUAAAUGUCUUGAUUCCAAAAAUGAUAUUCAUGAUAUUUGGUGUAUGUUGAUGCCAUAUCCAGGAACUCACAUGAAACAUCAAGCAUCUUGUUGUUGUAACAUUAUGAACAACUUACGGGAAAAGUAUAUUUAAAUUAUACAAAAUCUGAACGAAGUCCUAAAUCACAAAACUUGUCUGGGCGUCAUGUUAGUCAAAUGGAGAAGGUUUCUAGACAGUUGCGAUAUUCCUUAGCUUUGCAUUAUUGAAACAUUGGAGUCAAAUUUCAUGCUGGAAAUGUGGUUAUCAAUCUUCGUGUCGACGUUUUUCUUGCAGGUUUUGGAAACCUUCCCAUGCAGGAGAGGUGUUGCCGAAAUUUUUAACUUUUCUUUACACUCCUUACAUUUUUAUUUUGUCACUCACGUGCAAUCUCUUCUCUUUUUUGCAGCAUGAAUCGGAUGCGG